Molecule: transfer RNA, 72 nt
Filed under: Bos taurus (domestic cattle)
Lineage: Eukaryota; Metazoa; Chordata; Mammalia; Artiodactyla; Bovidae
Also listed under: 5 other names
Rfam family: tRNA
About the family: Transfer RNA (tRNA) molecules are approximately 80 nucleotides in length. Their secondary structure includes four short double-helical elements and three loops (D, anti-codon, and T loops).
Source: Rfam by way of RNAcentral
UCCCGGGUGGCUCAGAGGUUAAAGCGUCUGCCUGCAAUGUGGGAGACCUGGGUUUGAUCCCUGGGUCGGGAA